UAAAUUUUCAACGAUGGAUGUCUUGGCUCCCAUAGCGAUGAAGAACGCAGCGAACUGCGAUAAGCAAUGUGAAUUGCAGAACUACGAAUCAUUGAUAUUCUAAUGCAUCUUG
RNAcentral lists this ribosomal RNA (112 nucleotides) under Chaenea sp. 3 FG-2017. Its description in RNAcentral is "5.8S ribosomal RNA". It matches the Rfam family "5.8S ribosomal RNA", at positions 1 to 113 of the family's 154-position model. Rfam says of the family: 5.8S ribosomal RNA (5.8S rRNA) is a component of the large subunit of the eukaryotic ribosome. It is transcribed by RNA polymerase I as part of the 45S precursor that also contains 18S and 28S rRNA. Lineage: Eukaryota; Ciliophora; Litostomatea; Haptorida; Trachelophyllidae. The record is from RNAcentral.